Molecule: transfer RNA, 73 nt
Filed under: Camelus bactrianus (Bactrian camel)
Lineage: Eukaryota; Metazoa; Chordata; Mammalia; Artiodactyla; Camelidae
Also listed under: 2 other names
Rfam family: tRNA
About the family: Transfer RNA (tRNA) molecules are approximately 80 nucleotides in length.
Source: Rfam by way of RNAcentral
GAGAGUAUGGCUCAAGCGGCAGAGUGCGUGCUUAGUAUGCACAGGGUCCUGGGUUCAAUCCCCACUACUGCCC